AUGAGUCUACUAUGCUGGAACUGUCGCGGGGCUGGCAAACCCGCGACAGUUCGUGAGCUUCGUGAUCUCACGAGGCAACUUGCCCCCUCUAUAGUUUGUAUUGUCGAGACUCAAAUAGAGGGCUCUAGAGUGGAGAAUAUGGUAGGCUCUUUGGGUUAUGAAAAAAGUUUUGCAGUGAGUAGCUCUGGUAGAAGUGGGGGACUUGGAAUAUUUUGGAAUGAG
This 222-nucleotide ribosomal RNA is filed under the name Triticum aestivum (bread wheat). Its description in RNAcentral is "partial small subunit ribosomal RNA". Lineage: Eukaryota; Viridiplantae; Streptophyta; Magnoliopsida; Poales; Poaceae. The record is from RNAcentral.